GACGAACCGUCCAAACGUUAUUCGGAAUCACUGGGCUUAAAGGGUGCGUAGGCGGCGCGGAAAGUUGGGUGUGAAAUACCUCGGCUCAGCCGAGGAACUGCGCCCAAAACUACCGUGCUCGAGGAAGAUAGAGGUGAGCGGAACUUAGGGUGGAGCGGUGAAAUGCGUUGAUAUCCGAAGGAACACCGGUGGCGAAAGCGGCUCACUGGGUCUCUACUGACGCUGAGGCACGAAAGCUAGGGGAGCGAACGGG
Molecule: ribosomal RNA, 253 nt
Filed under: uncultured prokaryote
Description: partial 16S ribosomal RNA
Rfam family: Bacterial small subunit ribosomal RNA
Source: RNAcentral